CCUGGUGCAGUCCCUUUCCAGGGGCAGGUGCCACCCUGCAGGCCCCUCCCCCACAAGCUUCUUUUGUUUCCUGGACUUCGGGCGUGAGAAGGACGUUGGCCUGGGGUUCGUCUUAUUUCGUGAAGGUCGUGGGGCACUCCUGAAUGCUUUAUGAAUGUCUCAGAAGCUAAUGCCGGCAGCACCAUGGCGACCUAUGAAAAAGCUGGGAGGAGAGUCAGGAGAGCUUGGCACGGAGCGCGGGGCCGCCGGGUGCUCAGCCUGGCUCUGUGGCACACUCUGCCCGCACGGCCUCCCGCAGCGCCCACCGGGCAUCACAGACUGAACCACCGGAGUCCCCGCUUCCUCUGACGCUCAGCUGACAUCCAGAAAGGGUCCACACCUCAGGCCCAGUGUCUGCUCAGCACAUUAACACCCCGGCAAGGUUUGCACCGGGAAACGCCUCCCCACCGUGCCUCAGUGUCUUCCUCCAGAGCCGGUGAGGGCUGGGGCCCAGCAGUCUGCAGUGCUGGCCUUCUGGGACCUUCCGUGACUGAAGGAGACUUUGAUACGCCAGAGCUUUGAAGAAGAAAGCCGCCUGUUUCUCGGGGACAGACUUUCUUAAUCUGAGCUCCGUGUAUAUCUUCCGCGAGAUAUUCUUACACAUUUUUGAUCACCGCAGCGAUGCUAAGUGUUCUGUCUAGCGAGCCUUCAGAUUUUUAUUAACUUUUCUUCUUUUCAUUUUGAAGUAGGUAUCAGAUUGGGCGUGGGGAAGGAGGAGGAUGCUUUUCCUGGGACGAGAUGAAGUUAACUUUGAGCAGACUCCUGCAUUGAUAAGCUCAACAGCUAAAAAAUUGGCUCCCAGUCCCCUGCAGUCUCCAAUCAUUGCCAUGCAAAUUUGAAAGGCAAGAGCCACGGGAGCCCGGCAGCUGGAGUCGGUCUGCAUGGAAAUGGGAACGGAAGCCACAUUCCCGUGUUAGACAGCCAGGUUCCCGGCAGAGCAAAAGGGAAAAUUCCCUUCUCUGUCAAAGCUGUCAAAUGACUCACCCAGGGGGCAUGGCAGCCUCUUAGCUCCUCUCUCUCCAGUUACCUGCAGGGGCAGGAGGUGGGUUGUUCUGGACGCUGCCCACCUGUCCACUGCACGCAGGGCUGACCCUGUCAGGGACAGAUGCCCAGGCUGGCACAGGCCACCUCACCCCUUUCAGGGAAGGAGAAGGUGGAAGGGCAGAGUUCUGCGCAGGUCUCCCCUGAGUUUCCCCUUCCCGGGCCCUUCUCUGGCCUUGGGAGAGAGGAGGCUCCCGGGUUGCAGGAUCUCGCCCCACAAAGACAUGUGAGCUUGGGUGAUGUCAUCCCAUCAGCUCUGGCUUCUGCCGCCUCCUGACAAAUGUAACUCGGAUUUUGCUUUGUUUUUGAAUUUCACAUCAUUAAUAUUUUUUCUUUCCAAACUUCCUGUCAUCGAGUGUCUGGAUGUUCAAAGAUUUGUCCCUGAGUCAAUUUCUGGCAUACGCACUAUGAUAGAGACUCUGAGAGUGGGGAGAGGCAUUUGGUGUCACCUCAUCCCCUCCCUCAGCUCAUAGGUCAGGACACCGAGAGCCAGAGAGAACACGGUCACCACAAAGUCACCUGGGGACUCAGAGGCUAAGUUGCAGCUUUGUGGCAGGGCACGGAGAAGGGCCAAGCCAGUCCUUCUGAUCUGCUGUCAUCCAUCCAUCCAACAGCCUGGGAGAGAGGUGCGGGCCCUGUGAUGGGAUCUGGCCAGAUGGAAGGCGCGAAACUGUAUUCCUCCCAUUGGGGGUGCAGGGGCUUCAGGAGUGAGGAUGAGUGACGGUCGUUUUUUUUUUUUUUUUUUUUUAACUGCUCGAGUCAUUUAUUUGGAAUGGACACACUGAUGCAAAAACAAAAUAUUAAGACAAAACGGUGUCAUGACAAAGACCCAUCAAAAUAAAUACAUAGAUAGUCCA
Long non-coding RNA from Lemur catta (Ring-tailed lemur), 1937 nucleotides. RefSeq lists it as uncharacterized. The record is from RefSeq and is a predicted model, not a curated record. The transcript is spliced from 3 exons. NCBI's taxonomy places the organism in Eukaryota, Metazoa, Chordata, Mammalia, Primates, Lemuridae.